This is a long non-coding RNA of Parus major (Great Tit), 1164 nucleotides long. RefSeq lists it as uncharacterized. The transcript has 4 exons. The record is from RefSeq and is a predicted model, not a curated record. NCBI's taxonomy places the organism in Eukaryota, Metazoa, Chordata, Aves, Passeriformes, Paridae.
AAUCUUCCUGCAACAACAAAAAGAUGCUCUGAUGACCCUGUUGCUCAUAUACCAGCUGAAAUAAAUUUCCAGGUGUGAAACUUUGUGCAGUCCUGAUGAUGCCAAAUAUUCCUUGUACUUUCUGCUCUGAGAAAUGACUGUGGUGGUGCUGUGGAGCUGCUAAAUGGGACUGUCCAGGAGACAACAGCAUCCAGAAUAUGAAGUAAAAACUACUCAUCUAAAAACCGAAGCCUUCAUUCUCUUUGGAGCAGACAGGAGAAAACAUGGAUGGACUAUAUUUGGGAAAGGUUGGCUCCAUUCGUGUGAGUAAGUUCUUCUCCGAGGUGGCUGGAGUGUGACACUGAACAGGGUAACCCUCAUCUUACUGACUCAAGGAUCUCCUCCUAACUAAUGAACAUGGGCAACAAAUCAAAAUAUGGUGGAAACUUCAAGAGGUUUGUGGCCAAGACUGCAAGGAUCCUGGGAAAAUGAUUGUACAUUCACAUCAUGCCAUCAUCUAAGUACAUGGAAAAUGCUUUUAUAGGAUGCUGAAGAUUUGCCACCAAACUACAAGGGCUUUACAUCGCAUCUCCAACAAUCUCUGUCACUAACAAGGGCCAAAUUCUGUGUUGGAAAGAGCUCCUUCUGUUUUUCUUGGCCUAACCCACUCUGCACAGAUGUCACCUCCCUGCUUUUGACCAGACCACAGAAGUCAGGAAAGCAAUUUCUUCCCCAUCCUUGCUGGCAUCCUCAGGAGGCAGGUUCCUUAGGACUCUGAUGUGAGACAGAAAUGGAAACAGGAUUUUGCUGGAGUGGGAUGCUUCGUGUUUGAGGAAGUCAAGGUUAAUCUGUGCCUGAAGAAUCAGGAAAACUUGUAUUUUGUAUGGGCAGUGCCAAUGCAGCUCCCUGCUCUGGUGGAGGGCACAAAAGAGACUUUGGCACCUAAGUAAUUUAUGAUUAGUUGAAAACUGUUGUGUUUCACUGCUCACAUGUGUUCUCCUCAAGAAGAGACUGUAAAAUUGAUCUGAGGCCCAAACUAAGAGUGAAUCUUUUUCUCUCUCAAAGAGCAAAGCUCUCUUUCAAAAAUGUGACGCAGGAGUUGCCAUGGAAAAAUACAUUGAGCCAAUCAUUCAUGAUUUAUUUAUAGCAAUUAGAAUGCUCAUCCCAAGAUCCAAUAGUAACUUU